CAGAUAUACAACACUGUUCCAGAACAGUUCAACCCAAAUACUGAGAUGUUUGUAGCACAUUUUACGGAGGACGAGGACUGUUUCCUGAACCAGUAUCCUACAAUGCAUCUGUGCACAAAGGCUGUUUCUAUAAAGUGGGGCAAUUCCAACUUUGAAAGGACAGUCUGCCGCUUCUGACUCACAGCCUCGGCGGAUGCGAGCCAGGCCCCGGGCGACGACCUCUCUCCCUCCACUGCCUCUGGUCUUCGAGAUCUCCACCCGGAACCGCUUCACUCCCCUCCGUGAGACGGAACGUGACGCUGUGAUCAUCGGAGACUCCAUCAUCCAGCAUAUACCCGUGACGAGAGCCCUGGAGCGGUUGUGCUUCAUGCCAGGGUUAACGACACCACGUUGCGGCAGACAGAGACACUGAAGAGGGACUUCAGGAGCCUGAUCGAGACGGUG
Molecule: long non-coding RNA, 444 nt
Organism: Cyprinus carpio carpio
Lineage: Eukaryota; Metazoa; Chordata; Actinopteri; Cypriniformes; Cyprinidae
Source: Ensembl